GAUGAACGCUGGCGGCGUGCCUAAUACAUGCAAGUCGAGCGAACAGACGAGGAGCUUGCUCCUCUGACGUUAGCGGCGGACGGGUGAGUAACACGUGGAUAACCUACCUAUAAGACUGGGAUGACUUCGGGAAACCGGAGCUAAUACCGGAUAAUAUAUUGAACCGCAUGGUUCAAUAGUGAAAGACGGUUUUGCUGUCACUUAUAGAUGGAUCCGCGCCGCAUUAGCUAGUUGGUAAGGUAACGGCUUACCAAGGCAACGAUGCGUAGCCGACCUGAGAGGGUGAUCGGCCACACUGGAACUGAGACACGGUCCAGACUCCUACGGGAGGCAGCAGUAGGGAAUCUUCCGCAAUGGGCGAAAGCCUGACGGAGCAACGCCGCGUGAGUGAUGAAGGUCUUCGGAUCGUAAAACUCUGCUAUUAGGGAAGAACAAAUGUGUAAGUAACUAUGCACGUCUUGACGGUACCUAAUCAGAAAGCCACGGCUAACUACGUG
This 497-nucleotide ribosomal RNA is filed under the name uncultured bacterium. RNAcentral's name for it is "partial 16S ribosomal RNA". It matches the Rfam family "Bacterial small subunit ribosomal RNA", at positions 28 to 507 of the family's 1533-position model. The record is from RNAcentral.